UACGUAGGGGGCUAGCGUUGUCCGGAUUUAUUGGGCGUAAAGGGCGCGUAGGCGGCCCGCUAAGUCGAACGUGAAAUCCCCGAGCUCAACUCGGGAACUGCGUCCGAUACUGGCGGGCUUGAAUCCGGGAGAGGGAUGCGGAAUUCCAGGUGUAGCGGUGAAAUGCGUAGAUAUCUGGAGGAACACCGGUGGCGAAGGCGGCAUCCUGGACCGGCAUUGACGCUGAGGCGCGAAAGCGUGGGGAUCAAACAGG
This 253-nucleotide ribosomal RNA is filed under the name uncultured bacterium. RNAcentral describes it as "partial 16S ribosomal RNA". It matches the Rfam family "Bacterial small subunit ribosomal RNA", at positions 524 to 776 of the family's 1533-position model. The record is from RNAcentral.